RNAcentral lists this ribosomal RNA (492 nucleotides) under uncultured bacterium. RNAcentral describes it as "partial 16S ribosomal RNA". It matches the Rfam family "Bacterial small subunit ribosomal RNA", at positions 29 to 507 of the family's 1533-position model. The record is from RNAcentral.
AGUGAACGCUGGCGGUAGGCCUAACACAUGCAAGUCGAACGGCAGCACAGUAAGAGCUUGCUCUUACGGGUGGCGAGUGGCGGACGGGUGAGGAAUACAUCGGAAUCUACUUUUUCGUGGGGGAUAACGAAGGGAAACUUACGCUAAUACCGCAUACGACCUACGGGUGAAAGCAGGGGAUCUUCGGACCUUGCGCGAUCGAAUGAGCCGAUGUCGGAUUAGCUAGUUGGCGGGGUAAAGGCCCACCAAGGCGACGAUCGGUAGCUGGUCUGAGAGGAUGAUCAGCCACACUGGAACUGAGACACGGUCCAGACUCCUACGGGAGGCAGCAGUGGGGAAUAUUGGACAAUGGGCGCAAGCCUUAUCCAGCCAUACCGCGUGGGUGAAGAAGGCCUUCGGGUUGUAAAGCCCUUUUGUUGGGAAAGAAAAGCAGCAGGUUAAUACCCCGCUGUUCUGACGGUACCCAAAGAAUAAGCACCGGCUAACUUCGUG